GACGAACGCUGGCGGCGUGCUUAACACAUGCAAGUCGAACGGCAAGGCACUGCGUUCGUGGGGUGCUCGGGUGGCGAACGGGGGAGUAACACGUGAGUAACCUGCUCUUCACUUUGGGAUAACUUCAGGUAACUGGGGCUAAUACCGGAUAGGAGCCCCCGCUCCAUGGUGGGCGUUGGAAAGUCUCGGCGGUUGCGGAUGGACUGGCGGGUGAUCAGCUAGUUGGUGGGGUAGAGGCCCACCAAGGCGACGAUCCGUAGCCGGCCUGAGAGGGUGACCAGCCACACGGGAACUGAGACACGGUCCAGACUCCUACGGGAGGCAGCAGUGGGGAAUAUUGGACAAUGGGCGCAAGCCUGAUCCAGCCAUACCGCGUGGGUGAAGAAGGCCUUCGGGUUGUAAAGCCCUUUUGUUGGGAAAGAAAAGCAGCAGGUUAAUACCCCGCUGUUCUGACGGUACCCAAAGAAUAAGCACCGGCUAACUUCGUG
Molecule: ribosomal RNA, 488 nt
Filed under: uncultured bacterium
Lineage: Bacteria
Description: partial 16S ribosomal RNA
Rfam family: Bacterial small subunit ribosomal RNA
Source: RNAcentral